AAAGCCUUAGUAAAACUAUUACAUAGCCCUGUCAGAGCUAAAUUACAGAACAUCAAUCUGUAGGCUUUA
This 69-nucleotide transfer RNA is filed under the name Chalarodon madagascariensis (Madagascar iguana). RNAcentral describes it as "tRNA-Asp". Lineage: Eukaryota; Metazoa; Chordata; Lepidosauria; Squamata. The record is from RNAcentral.